AGAGUUUGAUCAUGGCUCAGAUUGAACGCUGGCGGCAGGCCUAACACAUGCAAGUCGAGCGGCAGCGGGAAAGUAGCUUGCUACUUUUGCCGGCGAGCGGCGGACGGGUGAGUAAUGCCUGGGAAAUUGCCCAGUCGAGGGGGAUAACAGUUGGAAACGACUGCUAAUACCGCAUAAUCUCUCAGGAGCAAAGCAGGGGACCUUCGGGCCUUGCGCGAUUGGAUAUGCCCAGGUGGGAUUAGCUAGUUGGUGAGGUAAUGGCUCACCAAGGCGACGAUCCCUAGCUGGUCUGAGAGGAUGAUCAGCCACACUGGGACUGAGACACGGCCCAGACUCCUACGGGAGGCAGCAGUGGGGAAUAUUGCACAAUGGGCGCAAGCCUGAUGCAGCCAUGCCGCGUGUAUGAAGAAGGCCUUCGGGUUGUAAAGUACUUUCAGCGAGGAGGAAGGCGUUGUGGUUAAUAACCGCAGCGAUUGACGUUACUCGCAGAAGAAGCACCGGCUAACCCCGUGCCAGCCGCCGCGGUAAUAC
This 531-nucleotide ribosomal RNA is filed under the name uncultured bacterium. Its description in RNAcentral is "bacterial SSU rRNA". It matches the Rfam family "Bacterial small subunit ribosomal RNA", at positions 8 to 526 of the family's 1533-position model. The record is from RNAcentral.